AGAGUUUGAUCCUGGCUCAGAUUGAACGCUGGCGGCAGGCCUAACACAUGCAAGUCGAGCGGUAACAGAAAGUAGCUUGCUACUUUGCUGACGAGCGGCGGACGGGUGAGUAAUGCUUGGGAACAUGCCUUGAGGUGGGGGACAACAGUUGGAAACGACUGCUAAUACCGCAUAAUGUCUACGGACCAAAGGGGGCUUCGGCUCUCGCCUUUAGAUUGGCCCAAGUGGGAUUAGCUAGUUGGUGAGGUAAUGGCUCACCAAGGCAACGAUCCCUAGCUGGUUUGAGAGGAUGAUCAGCCACACUGGGACUGAGACACGGCCCAGACUCCUACGGGAGGCAGCAGUGGGGAAUAUUGCACAAUGGGCGCAAGCCUGAUGCAGCCAUGCCGCGUGUGUGAAGAAGGCCUUCGGGUUGUAAAGCACUUUCAGUCAGGAGGAAAGGUUAGUAGUUAAUACCUGCUAGCUGUGACGUUACUGACAGAAGAAGCACCGGCUAACUCCGUGCCAGCAGCCGCGGUAAUACGGAGGGUGCGAGCGUUAAUCGGAAUUACUGGGCGUAAAGCGUACGCAGGCGGUUUGUUAAGCGAGAUGUGAAAGCCCCGGGCUCAACCUGGGAACUGCAUUUCGAACUGGCAAACUAGAGUGUGAUAGAGGGUGGUAGAAUUUC
Molecule: ribosomal RNA, 667 nt
Filed under: uncultured Pseudoalteromonas sp.
Lineage: Bacteria; Pseudomonadati; Pseudomonadota; Gammaproteobacteria; Alteromonadales; Pseudoalteromonadaceae
Description: bacterial SSU rRNA
Rfam family: Bacterial small subunit ribosomal RNA
Source: RNAcentral